RNAcentral lists this unclassified non-coding RNA (372 nucleotides) under soil metagenome. RNAcentral's name for it is "partial contains 5.8S ribosomal RNA, internal transcribed spacer 2, and large subunit ribosomal RNA". The stretch from base 1 to 120 matches the Rfam family "5.8S ribosomal RNA", at positions 35 to 154 of the family's 154-position model. The record is from RNAcentral.
GAUGAAGAACGUAGCGAAAUGCGAUAAGUAAUGUGAAUUGCAGAAUUCAGUGAAUCAUCGAAUCUUUGAACGCACAUUGCGCCCGGCAGCAAUCUGCCGGGCAUGCCUGUCCGAGCGUCAUUUCUUCCCUCGAGCGCGGCUAGCCAUACGGGGCCUGCCGUCGCCCGGUGUUGGGGCUCUACGGGUGGGGCUCGUCCCCCCCGCAGUCCCCGAAAUGUAGUGGCGGUCCAGCCGCGGCGCCCCCUGCGUAGUAGAUCCUACAUCUCGCAUCGGGUCCCGGCGAAGGCCAGCCGUCGAACCUUUUAUUUCAUGGUUUGACCUCGGAUCAGGUAGGGUUACCCGCUGAACUUAAGCAUAUCAAUAAGCGGAGGA